RNAcentral lists this ribosomal RNA (321 nucleotides) under uncultured eukaryote. RNAcentral describes it as "partial 18S ribosomal RNA". It matches the Rfam family "Eukaryotic small subunit ribosomal RNA", at positions 1470 to 1796 of the family's 1831-position model. The record is from RNAcentral.
CCCUUAGACGUUCUGGGCCGCACGCGCGCUACACUGACCAGUGCAACAAGCAUCCGUCCUUGGCCGACAGGCCCGGGCAAUCUUUGAACGCCGGUCGUGAUGGGGAUAGACUUUUGCAAUUUUUGGUCUUCAACGAGGAAUUCCUAGUAAACGCAAGUCAUCAACUUGCAUUGAUUACGUCCCUGCCCUUUGUACACACCGCCCGUCGCACCUACCGAUUGAAUGGUCCGGUGAAAUCUCGGGACGGCGGCUUGGUCGCUUGCGUCCGACUGCUGAAACUUGAUUAAACCAUAUCAUUUAGAGGAAGGUGAAGUCGUAACA